GGGAGGGGGCGCUACCAUGCAGUCGACGGUGACACGGAGCUUGCUCUGUGGGAUCAGUGGCGAACGGGUGAGUAACACGUGAGCAACCUGCCCCUGACUCUGGGAUAAGCGCUGGAAACGGCGUCUAAUACUGGAUACGAACCAUGAAGGCAUCUUCAGUGGUUGGAAAGAUUUAUUGGUUGGGGAUGGGCUCGCGGCCUAUCAGCUUGUUGGUGAGGUAAUGGCUCACCAAGGCGUCGACGGGUAGCCGGCCUGAGAGGGUGACCGGCCACACUGGGACUGAGACACGGCCCAGACUCCUACGGGAGGCAGCAGUGGGGAAUAUUGCACAAUGGGCGCAAGCCUGAUGCAGCAACGCCGCGUGAGGGAUGACGGCCUUCGGGUUGUAAACCUCUUUUAGCAGGGAAGAAGCGAAAGUGACGGUACCUGCAGAAAAAGCGCCGGCUAACUACGUGCCAGCAGCCGCGGUAAUACGUAGGGCGCAAGCGUUAUCCGGAAUUAUUGGGCGUAAAGAGCUCGUAGGCGGUUUGUCGCGUCUGCUGUGAAAUCCGGAGGCUCAACCUCCGGCCUGCAGUGGGUACGGGCAGACUAGAGUGCGGUAGGGGAGAUUGGAAUUCCUGGUGUAGCGGUGGAAUGCGCAGAUAUCAGGAGGAACACCGAUGGCGAAGGCAGAUCUCUGGGCCGUAACUGACGCUGAGGAGCGAAAGGGUGGGGAGCAAACAGGCUUAGAUACCCUGGUAGUCCACCCCGUAACGUUGGGAACUAGUUGUGGGGUCCAUUCCACGGAUUCCGUGACGCAGCUAACGCAUUAAGUUCCCCGCCUGGGGAGUACGGCCGCAAGGCUAAAACUCAAAGGAAUUGACGGGGACCCGCACAAGCGGCGGAGCAUGCGGAUUAAUUCGAUGCAACGCGAAGAACCUUACCAAGGCUUGACAUAUACGAGAACGGGCCAGAAAUGGUCAACUCUUUGGACACUCGUAAACAGGGUGGUGCAUGGUUGUCGUCAGCUCGUGUCGUGAGAUGUUGGGUUAAGUCCCGCAACGAGCGGCAACCCUCGGCUAUGUGCCAGCACGUAUUGUUGGGACUCAUGGGAUACUGGCGGGUUCACUCGGAGAUGUGGAUGACGUCAAUCAUCAUGGCCCCUUAUGUCUUGGGGCUC
Molecule: ribosomal RNA, 1159 nt
Filed under: Microbacterium sp.
Lineage: Bacteria; Bacillati; Actinomycetota; Actinomycetes; Micrococcales; Microbacteriaceae
Description: bacterial SSU rRNA
Rfam family: Bacterial small subunit ribosomal RNA
Source: RNAcentral